GAUGAACGCUAGCUACAGGCUUAACACAUGCAAGUCGAGGGGAAACGGCAUUGAGUGCUUGCACUCUUUGGACGUCGACCGGCGCACGGGUGAGUAACGCGUAUCCAACCUUCCCAUUACUGUGGGAUAACCUGCCGAAAGGCAGACUAAUACCGCAUAGUCUUCGAUGACGGCAUCAGAUUUGAAGUAAAGAUUUAUCGGUAAUGGAUGGGGAUGCGUCUGAUUAGCUUGUUGGCGGGGUAACGGCCCACCAAGGCGACGAUCAGUAGGGGUUCUGAGAGGAAGGUCCCCCACAUUGGAACUGAGACACGGUCCAAACUCCUACGGGAGGCAGCAGUGAGGAAUAUUGGUCAAUGGACGUAAGUCUGAACCAGCCAAGUAGCGUGCAGGAUGACGGCCCUAUGGGUUGUAAACUGCUUUUGUAUGGGGAUAAAGUUAGGGACGUGUCCCUAUUUGCAGGUACC
Molecule: ribosomal RNA, 464 nt
Filed under: Prevotella melaninogenica
Lineage: Bacteria; Pseudomonadati; Bacteroidota; Bacteroidia; Bacteroidales; Prevotellaceae
Description: bacterial SSU rRNA
Rfam family: Bacterial small subunit ribosomal RNA
Source: RNAcentral